This 468-nucleotide ribosomal RNA is filed under the name uncultured bacterium. Its description in RNAcentral is "partial 16S ribosomal RNA". It matches the Rfam family "Bacterial small subunit ribosomal RNA", at positions 28 to 507 of the family's 1533-position model. The record is from RNAcentral.
GACGAACGCUGGCGGCGUGCUUAACACAUGCAAGUCGAACGGAAAGGCCCUGCUUUUGUGGGGUGCUCGAGUGGCGAACGGGUGAGUAACACGUGAGUAACCUGCCCUUGACUUUGGGAUAACUUCAGGAAACUGGGGCUAAUACCGGAUAGGAGCUCCUGCUGCAUGGUGGGGGUUGGAAAGUUUCGGCGGUUGGGGAUGGACUCGCGGCUUAUCAGCUUGUUGGUGGGGUAGUGGCUUACCAAGGCUUUGACGGGUAGCCGGCCUGAGAGGGUGACCGGCCAAAUUGGGACUGAGAUACGGCCCAGACUCCUACGGGAGGCAGCAGUGGGGAAUAUUGCACGAUGGGCGGAAGCCUGAUGCAGCAACGCCGCGUGCGGGAUGACGGCCUUCGGGUUGGAAACCGCUUUCGCCUGUGACGAAGCGUGAGUGACGGUAAUGGGUGAAGAAGCACCGGCUAACUACGUG